This 800-nucleotide ribosomal RNA is filed under the name Corallococcus coralloides. Its description in RNAcentral is "bacterial SSU rRNA". It matches the Rfam family "Bacterial small subunit ribosomal RNA", at positions 88 to 865 of the family's 1533-position model. Lineage: Bacteria; Pseudomonadati; Myxococcota; Myxococcia; Myxococcales; Myxococcaceae. The record is from RNAcentral.
UAGUAGAGCGGCGCACGGGUGCGUAACACGUGGAUAAUCUGCCUGGAUGCCUGGGAUAACCAGUCGAAAGAUUGGCUAAUACCGGAUAAGCCCACGGUCUCCUCGGAGACUGAGGGAAAAGGUGGCCUCUGUAUACAAGCUAUCACAACCAGAUGAGUCCGCGGCCCAUCAGCUAGUUGGCGGGGUAAUGGCCCACCAAGGCAACGACGGGUAGCUGGUCUGAGAGGACGAUCAGCCACACUGGAACUGAGACACGGUCCAGACUCCUACGGGAGGCAGCAGUGGGGAAUUUUGCGCAAUGGGCGAAAGCCUGACGCAGCAACGCCGCGUGUGUGAUGAAGGUCUUUGGAUUGUAAAGCACUUUCGACCGGGACGAAACCGUAAAGCCUAAUACGCUUUGCCUUGACGGUACCGGGAGAAGAAGCACCGGCUAACUCUGUGCCAGCAGCCGCGGUAAUACAGAGGGUGCAAGCGUUGUUCGGAAUUAUUGGGCGUAAAGCGCGUGUAGGCGGCUUUGCAAGUCGGGUGUGAAAGCCCUCAGCUCAACUGAGGAAGUGCGCCCGAAACUGCAGAGCUUGAGUGCCGGAGAGGGUGGCGGAAUUCCCCAAGUAGAGGUGAAAUUCGUAGAUAUGGGGAGGAACACCGGUGGCGAAGGCGGCCACCUGGACGGUAACUGACGCUGAGACGCGAAAGCGUGGGUAGCAAACAGGAUUAGAUACCCUGGUAGUCCACGCCGUAAACGAUGAGAACUAGGUGUCGUGGGAGUUGACCCCCGCGGUGCCGUAGCUAACGCAUUAAGU